Molecule: non-coding RNA, 501 nt
Organism: Leptonychotes weddellii (Weddell seal)
Lineage: Eukaryota; Metazoa; Chordata; Mammalia; Carnivora; Phocidae
Source: RefSeq, a predicted model, not a curated record
GGAGGAGGGAAGGAUGGGCUCGUAAGAGGAGCCUGGCAUCUUCGGGACGGAAGAAGGAACUCUCGGAAGGGCAAGGACCCUGUUGGUCUUGUUUGCUCCUGUGUUCGCGGUGCCCACACAGACUUCCUAGAGGAGGUGGCAGGCGAGUCGGACCCUGAAGGACAAGCAAGAGCCCAGCAGCUAGCGGAAGCGCAGGAAUCCCUGGGUCUCCAACCCCUCAACUCCAGGGGCCGGCGGCCACCUGCUUCAGAUCCUCAGACAUCAAAACAACAGCGAGAAGAUAUUGGGAACAACUUUCGUCAGUAAAUUUGAAAAUUUAGGUAUGUGGACAAAUUCCUAGGAAAUUAUCAUUAAUCAGAACCUACACCUGAAAGAGAGUCUGUUUUGGUAGUUUUAAGGGGACCGAAUCCAGAAUCAUGGGCCCUCUGGCGUUGGCCUCCCCGCCCGGGGCUCUGCCUCUUGUCUGCCUGUCUGUCUGCUCUAGGGCCGGACCCCCUGAGA